GUGAGGAAUUUUCCGCAAUGGGCGAAAGUCUGACGGAGCAAUGCCGCGUGAAGGAUGAAGGCCUAUGGGUUGUAAACUUCUUUUCUUAGAGAAGAAUAUUGACGGUAUCUGAGGAAUAAGCAUCGGCUAACUCUGUGCCAGCAGCCGCGGUAAGACAGAGGAUGCAAGCGUUAUCCGGAAUGAUUGGGCGUAAAGCGUCUGUAGGUGGCUUCAAAAGUCUCCUGUCAAAGAUCAGGGCUUAACCCUGGGCCGGCAGGAGAAACUCUGAGGCUAGAGUUUGGUAGGGGCAGAGGGAAUUCCCGGUGGAGCGGUGAAAUGCGUAGAGAUCGGGAGGAACACCAAAGGCGAAAGCACUCUGCUGGGCCACAACUGACACUGAGAGACGAAAGCGAGGGGAGCAAAAGGGAUUAGAAACCCCAGUAGUCC
This 426-nucleotide ribosomal RNA is filed under the name uncultured bacterium. Its description in RNAcentral is "partial 16S ribosomal RNA". It matches the Rfam family "Bacterial small subunit ribosomal RNA", at positions 354 to 796 of the family's 1533-position model. The record is from RNAcentral.